This is a long non-coding RNA of Homo sapiens (human), 820 nucleotides long. RefSeq lists it as uncharacterized. The transcript has 4 exons. The record is from RefSeq and is a predicted model, not a curated record. Lineage: Eukaryota; Metazoa; Chordata; Mammalia; Primates; Hominidae.
GUUUUCUGCUUGUGUUUAUAUUUUCAGAAGGGGGCUGAAGAGCUAUGCCCAGACUGGAGCACGAGUCUGCUUGCUGGUGUGUUUCUCAGUCCAGUUUGAUUUUUUAAAGGUACCCUCCAUGGGACAGAACUCUGCUUACAAACUUUAAAACUGGAUGAUGCAAAAAUUACCUGCACAGCAGAGGAGGACAACGAACCAUAAAGGGGGCUCAAGAUCUGCAUAUUCAACAAGCUUCCCAAGGGAUUUUGAUGGAUUCAGAACCACCCUCUACAAAUCCCUUCUAACCACAACAAAAUGGAUGGGCUGAGUGUUCAUAUUGCCUCACCUUUCAUCAAAGCACCAUCUGGGAACCAGAACUUGGCAUUUGAGAAAAAUCAGAGAUGACUAAGAAUAAGAACAAUCUCAUCAGGAGAAGAGCCGUUGAUCUCCUGUUCCUCUUCUAGAAGAAUUGAGAACAGAAAGGAUCAUUAAACAUCACCUACUCCAAAUGCAUUCGUUUCCAGAACUCCACAAGCAAGGGCAGAGCCCAGGACUCCUGUUGCCUGAUUUUGUGCCUGAGGAUCUUGGCUCUUGAAGCAGGAGAACCUUCAGUGUAUGUUAGAAACUUCUGGGAGGGCUUGGCCAAGAUACAAGCUCUGGAUCCCACCACGGAGAUUCUGCUUCUGCAGGCUGAGGUCUGUCCAGGAAACAGCAUUUUAAUAAGCUCAGAUUCUGAUUUGGAUGAUCUUUGAAACAAACCAAAGCCCAAUACACACAAGCUUCCCAAUCACUUGCAGUUAAUUUUCACAAACGUUUUCUUAUAUUCAUUAUUAAUCUAGAA